RNAcentral lists this ribosomal RNA (2932 nucleotides) under Priestia megaterium. RNAcentral's name for it is "23S ribosomal RNA". It matches the Rfam family "Bacterial large subunit ribosomal RNA". Lineage: Bacteria; Bacillati; Bacillota; Bacilli; Caryophanales; Bacillaceae. The record is from RNAcentral.
UUAAGUUAGAAAGGGCGCACGGUGAAUGCCUUGGCACUAGGAGCCGAUGAAGGACGGGACUAACACCGAUAUGCUUCGGGGAGCUGUAAGUGAGCUUUGAUCCGGAGAUUUCCGAAUGGGGAAACCCACUGUUCGUAAUGGAACAGUAUCUUUAUCUGAAUACAUAGGAUAUUGAAGGCAGACCCGGGGAACUGAAACAUCUAAGUACCCGGAGGAAGAGAAAGCAAAUGCGAUUUCCUGAGUAGCGGCGAGCGAAACGGAAUUAGCCCAAACCAAGAGGCUUGCCUCUUGGGGUUGUAGGACACUCUAUACGGAGUUACAAAGGAACGAAGUAAAUGAAGCGACCUGGAAAGGUCCGUCAAAGAAGGUAACAACCCUGUAGUUGAAACUUCGUUCCCUCUUGAGUGGAUCCUGAGUACGGCGGAACACGUGAAAUUCCGUCGGAAGCUGGGAGGACCAUCUCCCAAGGCUAAAUACUACCUAGUGACCGAUAGUGAACCAGUACCGUGAGGGAAAGGUGAAAAGCACCCCGGAAGGGGAGUGAAAGAGAUCCUGAAACCGUGUGCCUACAAGUAGUCAGAGCCCGUUAAUGGGUGAUGGCGUGCCUUUUGUAGAAUGAACCGGCGAGUUACGAUCCCAUGCAAGGUUAAGCUGAUAAGGCGGAGCCGUAGCGAAAGCGAGUCUGAAUAGGGCGUUUAGUAUGUGGUUGUAGACCCGAAACCAGGUGAUCUACCCAUGUCCAGGGUGAAGUUCAGGUAACACUGAAUGGAGGCCCGAACCCACGCACGUUGAAAAGUGCGGGGAUGAGGUGUGGGUAGCGGAGAAAUUCCAAUCGAACCUGGAGAUAGCUGGUUCUCUCCGAAAUAGCUUUAGGGCUAGCCUCAUGUUGUGAGAGUCUUGGAGGUAGAGCACUGAUUGGACUAGGGGCCCCCAACGGGUUACCGAAUUCAGUCAAACUCCGAAUGCCAAAGACUUAUCCAUGGGAGUCAGACUGCGAGUGAUAAGAUCCGUAGUCAAAAGGGAAACAGCCCAGACCACCAGCUAAGGUCCCCAAGUAUACGUUAAGUGGAAAAGGAUGUGGAGUUGCUUAGACAACCAGGAUGUUGGCUUAGAAGCAGCCACCAUUUAAAGAGUGCGUAAUAGCUCACUGGUCGAGUGACUCUGCGCCGAAAAUGUACCGGGGCUAAACGUAUCACCGAAGCUGUGGAUUGACAUCUUUGAUGUCAGUGGUAGGAGAGCGUUCUAAGUGCUGUGAAGUCAGACCGUAAGGACUGGUGGAGCGCUUAGAAGUGAGAAUGCCGGUAUGAGUAGCGAAAGACAAGUGAGAAUCUUGUCCACCGAAUGCCUAAGGUUUCCUGAGGAAGGCUCGUCCGCUCAGGGUUAGUCGGGACCUAAGCCGAGGCUGAAAAGCGUAGGCGAUGGCCAACAGGUUGAUAUUCCUGUACCACCUCCCCGCCGUUUGAGUAAUGGGGGGACGCAGUAGGAUAGGGUAAGCGCGCUGCUGGAUAUGCGCGUUCAAGCAGUUAGGCUGAUGAGUAGGCAAAUCCGCUCAUCAUAAAGGCUGAGCUGUGAUGACGAGGGAAUUAUAGUACCGAAGUUCCUGAUUCCACACUGCCAAGAAAAGCCUCUAGCGAGGCGGGAGGUGCCCGUACCGCAAACCGACACAGGUAGGCGAGGAGAGAAUCCUAAGGUGAUCGAGAGAACUCUCGUUAAGGAACUCGGCAAAAUGACCCCGUAACUUCGGGAGAAGGGGUGCUCUGGUAGGGUGUAUAGCCCGAGAGAGCCGCAGUGAAUAGGCCCAGGCGACUGUUUAGCAAAAACACAGGUCUCUGCGAAGCCGCAAGGCGAAGUAUAGGGGCUGACGCCUGCCCGGUGCUGGAAGGUUAAGAGGAGGGGUUAUCCUUUGGGAGAAGCUCUGAAUCGAAGCCCCAGUAAACGGCGGCCGUAACUAUAACGGUCCUAAGGUAGCGAAAUUCCUUGUCGGGUAAGUUCCGACCCGCACGAAAGGCGUAACGAUCUGGGCACUGUCUCAACGAGAGACUCGGUGAAAUUAUAGUACCUGUGAAGAUGCAGGUUACCCGCGACAGGACGGAAAGACCCCGUGGAGCUUUACUGUAGCCUGAUAUUGAAUUUUGGUACAGCUUGUACAGGAUAGGUAGGAGCCUAAGAAGCCGGAGCGCUAGCUUCGGUGGAGGCGUCGGUGGGAUACUACCCUGGCUGUAUUGAAAUUCUAACCCGCGGCCCUGAUCGGGCCGGGAGACAGUGUCAGGUGGGCAGUUUGACUGGGGCGGUCGCCUCCUAAAAUGUAACGGAGGCGCCCAAAGGUUCCCUCAGAAUGGUUGGAAAUCAUUCGUAGAGUGUAAAGGCACAAGGGAGCUUGACUGCGAGACCUACAAGUCGAGCAGGGACGAAAGUCGGGCUUAGUGAUCCGGUGGUUCCGCAUGGAAGGGCCAUCGCUCAACGGAUAAAAGCUACCCCGGGGAUAACAGGCUUAUCUCCCCCAAGAGUCCACAUCGACGGGGAGGUUUGGCACCUCGAUGUCGGCUCAUCGCAUCCUGGGGCUGUAGUCGGUCCCAAGGGUUGGGCUGUUCGCCCAUUAAAGCGGUACGCGAGCUGGGUUCAGAACGUCGUGAGACAGUUCGGUCCCUAUCCGUCGUGGGCGUAGGAAAUUUGAGAGGAGCUGUCCUUAGUACGAGAGGACCGGGAUGGACACACCGCUGGUGUACCAGUUGUCUUGCCAAAGGCAUCGCUGGGUAGCUAUGUGUGGACGGGAUAAGUGCUGAAAGCAUCUAAGCAUGAAGCCCCCCUCAAGAUGAGAUUUCCCAUAGCGCAAGCUAGUAAGAUCCCUGAAAGAUGAUCAGGUUGAUAGGUCAGAGGUGGAAGCGUGGCGACAUGUGUAGCUGACUGAUACUAAUCGAUCGAGGACUUAACC